This is a long non-coding RNA of Sinocyclocheilus rhinocerous, 598 nucleotides long. RefSeq lists it as uncharacterized. The record is from RefSeq and is a predicted model, not a curated record. Lineage: Eukaryota; Metazoa; Chordata; Actinopteri; Cypriniformes; Cyprinidae. The transcript has 4 exons.
AAGUGUUGAUUCUGGUGUUGAUUUGAAUGGCAUUAACACUUGCAGUGUAAAUCAGUGGUCGGAGUCAGUGUAAUUACAGCGAGUUGACAUAAUUGACACUGGUGAUGAGUUGAUCCAAUUUCCGGUCCUUGCACAUUAUUUCCUUUUUGAUUAAUGGCGGACAACCACGAGGAGAGGACAGUGUUCAAACAGAUAACGCGACAGACCACCGACAGGAUAUCGAGGCCAUUUAGCUGCACCACUUGUUAGCAAGCAAAUUGAGCUUUCAUGUUCAUCAAGGCGUGAAGAAAUUUGUAAAACUGCACAGCGAUAGUAGGUUCCAAAACUUUCUCACUGAAGUCCUGCACCAGUAUUGAAGGCCGUCUCGGCAGGAGGGAGGGCCACCAGCCAUUCCUACUGAGAUCAGGAAGGAGUAAGGGCAGGAUCAACCACUUUUACGUCGUUGUGGACAAGCGCCUCAUCCCUUGCGUUGGAACCAGCUCCUUGAGUGCCUUUGAACUUUUUAAAGUUCACUAUGUCUUCAACCUGUCCUACGAGAAAGCCCUGGUGUCAAAAGCCAACAGCUUGUUCUACAGGCCUUUUGAUCUGCAGUGUUUAU